ACGGAGGGUGCAAGCGUUGUCCGGAUUUAUUGGGUUUAAAGGGUGCGUAGGCGGCCUAUUAAGUCAGUGGUGAAAGGUAUCAGCUUAACUGAUGACGUGCCAUUGAAACUGACAGGCUUGAGUACAGACGAGGUAGGCGGAAUUUAUGGUGUAGCGGUGAAAUGCAUAGAUACCAUAAAGAACACCAAUUGCGAAGGCAGCUUACUAGACUGUAACUGACGCUGAGGCACGAAAGCGUGGGGAGCGAACAGG
Molecule: ribosomal RNA, 252 nt
Filed under: uncultured bacterium
Lineage: Bacteria
Description: partial 16S ribosomal RNA
Rfam family: Bacterial small subunit ribosomal RNA
Source: RNAcentral